UCUGGUCCUUCCUCACCAUCAAAUCAAGAUGGAGCAGGAUCAUCAGACUUCCAUUCUUUCUCUGAGUCCCUGAAAUCUAGAUUUAAUGCUGUGUCAAUGAGGUACGAAUUACUUAGGAGAUUAGUUAGUCAACAUGUAUUACUAAUUCGCUAUUAAUGCCAUCCUAAAAUCCAGGUACAGGGAUUCAAUUUCAAAGAGUGCGAGAGGGUGGAAAGAAAGGUUCUUCUCCCGUACUUCGAUGUCUGAUAUUAGCUCUGAAGUUCGAAGGGAAGUGAAUGCUGGAAUUGCUAGUGUAUCUUGCAUGAUGGAGCGUCUUGGAAGUAGAGAAAACAAUAGACCCGGCCAAGCUUCUUUAUCAUCCGAUCACUCCACUAAUUGUCCAGUGACAGAGGAAAACCAGCAGAACAAUGCAGUGGGUCGCAGAGUAGACUCUUUGGAUGAGAGUAAUAUCCGGCCUCCUCCUUACGUUCCAAGUGCUGGCUCCAUUCCAUCUUAAUUCAUUAUAUGUCGGUUCAGCGAUGACAUCAAUCCUCAGUGUUUCGUUUUUUUGAAGGUGAGGCACGUUGCUCCAUACGAAUAUCAACUCAGUCACUGCAAACUUUAUAUUAAGCACAUAAGUAUUAUAAUCUGAAACUCACCGAGUCUGAAAUUUUCAGGUUGUCAAGUGGUUUCUCUGAAAUGAAAUGAUGAGAGGAGGAGAUGCAGCCGGAUCGGGUUACGGCAAUGUGAGAAAUAA
This 736-nucleotide long non-coding RNA is filed under the name Carica papaya (papaya). RNAcentral describes it as "long non-coding RNA (CPAP_LNC004275)". Lineage: Eukaryota; Viridiplantae; Streptophyta; Magnoliopsida; Brassicales; Caricaceae. The record is from RNAcentral.